GAUGAACGCUGACAGAAUGCUUAACACAUGCAAGUCUUUGGCGAAGCUGUGCUCGCACAGCCUAGCCAAGGCGGACGGGUGAGUAACGCGUAAGGAACUUGCCCUGCAGUCAGGGAUAACAGACGGAAACGACUGAUAAGACCUGGUAAAGUCAGGCGGACUCAUGUCCAGCCUGAUGAAAAGAGAUGCUGCAGGAGAGCCUUGCGUCCUAUUAGCUUGUUGGUGGGGUAACGGCCCACCAAGGCGAUGAUAGGUAGCCGGCCUGAGAGGGUGGACGGCCACAAGGGGACUGAGAUACGGCCCUUACUCCUACGGGAGGCAGCAGUGGGGAAUAUUGGACAAUGGGGCAACCCUGAUCCAGCAAUUCUGUGUGCACGAUGAAGGUUUUCGGAUUGUAAAGUGCUUUCAGCAGGGAAGAAAAAAAUGACGGUACCUGCAGAAGAAGCGACGGCUAAAUACGUG
Molecule: ribosomal RNA, 462 nt
Filed under: uncultured bacterium
Lineage: Bacteria
Description: partial 16S ribosomal RNA
Rfam family: Bacterial small subunit ribosomal RNA
Source: RNAcentral